GAUGAACGCUAGCUACAGGCUUAACACAUGCAAGUCGAGGGGUAACGAGAGGAAAGCUUGCUUUCCUUGUCGACGACCGGCGCACGGGUGUGUAACGCGUAUCCAACCUGCCCCCAACUAGGGAAUAACCUUGCGAAAGUAAGACUAAUACCCUAUAAUUUCCUCAGAUGUCAUCUGACGAGGAAUAAAGAUUUAUCGGUUGUGGAUGGGGAUGCGUCUGAUUAGCUUGUUGGCGGGGUAACGGCCCACCAAGGCAAUGAUCAGUAGGGGUUCUGAGAGGAAGGUCCCCCACAUUGGAACUGAGACACGGUCCAGACUCCUACGGGAGGCAGCAGUGGGGAAUUUUGGACAAUGGGCGAAAGCCUGAUCCAGCCAUUCCGCGUGCAGGAUGAAGGCCCUCGGGUUGUAAACUGCUUUUGUACAGAACGAAAAGGUUUCUACUAAUACUAGGAGCUCAUGACGGUACUGUAAGAAUAAGCACCGGCUAACUACGUGCCAGCCGCCGCGGUAA
This 511-nucleotide ribosomal RNA is filed under the name uncultured bacterium. RNAcentral's name for it is "partial 16S ribosomal RNA". It matches the Rfam family "Bacterial small subunit ribosomal RNA", at positions 28 to 523 of the family's 1533-position model. The record is from RNAcentral.